This is a small nucleolar RNA of Rattus norvegicus (Norway rat), 130 nucleotides long. Ensembl annotates it as small nucleolar RNA SNORA17. The record is from Ensembl. NCBI's taxonomy places the organism in Eukaryota, Metazoa, Chordata, Mammalia, Rodentia, Muridae.
CCCGCCCCAAGAGACAUUGUAGCUGUGGCUGCUAUGUCACAUGUGUGCCAGUAGGUGGCAGAGGGGAGAGAGGCUAUGUCUAUGCUCAGUGCUCUGACCUAUGAACAUGUAACUAAAACUCCCUGAAAAA